RNAcentral lists this microRNA (23 nucleotides) under Anopheles gambiae (African malaria mosquito). RNAcentral describes it as "aga-miR-10372a-3p". Lineage: Eukaryota; Metazoa; Arthropoda; Insecta; Diptera; Culicidae. The record is from miRBase by way of RNAcentral.
CCUUAGUUACCCUUUUUCAAUGA